AAAUGAUUUGUCUUAAUUCAACAUCGGAGAGAAAUGAGUUCCCCUGUAUGCAUUUAAUAUGUUCUCCGUGUGCCAACAUAUAUGUAUGUAUACCUGUUUGUUUUGAGUUAAAACAAUAGUUAUGUACCGUUGAUUUAAUAUCCCUUGAGUUAGAGGCUAGAGGAGCAUGGCUACGCAUUCCGUAGCUACAGCAAGCUCAGUUUGUAGUUUUGCCAUAAGCUCUUGCGAAAGAAAACAUAACAAGUGUAAUCAUUAGCCUUU
RNAcentral lists this long non-coding RNA (261 nucleotides) under Brassica napus (rape). RNAcentral describes it as "long non-coding RNA (BNAP_LNC017293)". The record is from RNAcentral. Lineage: Eukaryota; Viridiplantae; Streptophyta; Magnoliopsida; Brassicales; Brassicaceae.